GAGCGGACAGAUGGGAGCUUGCUCCCUGAUGUUAGCGGCGGACGGGUGAGUAACACGUGGGUAACCUGCCUGUAAGACUGGGAUAACUCCGGGAAACCGGGGCUAAUACCGGAUGGUUGUUUGAACCGCAUGGUUCAAACAUAAAAGGUGGCUUCGGCUACCACUUACAGAUGGACCCGCGGCGCAUUAGCUAGUUGGUGAGGUAACGGCUCACCAAGGCAACGAUGCGUAGCCGACCUGAGAGGGUGAUCGGCCACACUGGGACUGAGACACGGCCCAGACUCCUACGGGAGGCAGCAGUAGGGAAUCUUCCGCAAUGGACGAAAGUCUGACGGAGCAACGCCGCGUGAGUGAUGAAGGUUUUCGGAUCGUAAAGCUCUGUUGUUAGGGAAGAACAAGUACCGUUCGAAUAGGGCGGUACCUUGACGGUACCUAACCAGAAAGCCACGGCUAACUACGUGCCAGCAGCCGCGGUAAUACGUAGGUGGCAAGCGUUGUCCGGAAUUAUUGGGCGUAAAGGGCUCGCAGGCGGUUUCUUAAGUCUGAUGUGAAAGCCCCCGGCUCAACCGGGGAGGGUCAUUGGAAACUGGGGAACUUGAGUGCAGAAGAGGAGAGUGGAAUUCCACGUGUAGCGGUGAAAUGCGUACAGAUGUGGAGGAACACCAGUGGCGAAGGCGACUCUCUGGUCUGUAACUGACGCUGAGGAGCGA
RNAcentral lists this ribosomal RNA (710 nucleotides) under Bacillus subtilis. Its description in RNAcentral is "bacterial SSU rRNA". It matches the Rfam family "Bacterial small subunit ribosomal RNA", at positions 64 to 756 of the family's 1533-position model. The record is from RNAcentral. Lineage: Bacteria; Bacillati; Bacillota; Bacilli; Caryophanales; Bacillaceae.